UCCCCAAUUCUCUCUCUCGCUCUCUCGCUCUCUCUCUCGCUCGCGAGUAUCAACGCUCAGAGAAUUCACGGAUUCGCGUCUCAAGCACAUCUCUUGCUUCAAAUUCUCUAGAAAUCAGGUGGGUUUUCUAUUUGUAGUGAGUAUGUGAUUUCUUGAGGGAAAUAGUUCACCCUUGCCUCAGAUUUCAAUUCAAUUGCAGCAAUUUACAUUUGAAAUAGCCCAUCAAUCCAGAGCAAUCCCACCGCCAUUGAUUGGAAGAGAUGUGCUCGGAGCUGCAAGGAUGGGGUCCGCGAAGGGAAGACUCUUGCUUUUCUAGUACCAGCUAUUGAGUUGUUAUAUAACAUAAGCUUUUCUCCUCGCAAUGGAACUGAUGUUGUCGUCAUUUGCCCAACUAGGGAACUCGUAAUUCAGGUAAUGCUGUUACUUGCUAUGCGUACAAAAUUGCAAUCGAUUUCAUAGUAAAGACUGGACCGAUGUAUGAUCUGAGUAACACUAGCCAAAUGGACAAUCGUUGCAGCAUAAAUUACCCACAGAGAGAGACUGAGAGAGAGAGAGAGAGAGAGAGAGAGAGCCUCUGGCAAAAGCUAUGCUGAUGACAAAGCUAGCAAAAGUAUGAAGGGAAUCAUGUAAGCAGCGCAGCCUUUGUGGUGAACCAUUUUAUUAUAGAGGGAAGGAUGAACUGUGCAACUAACUACGUACUUUUGCCCCUUUAUAUAGCUACUUUGGUAUAACGUCUUAGUUUUUAUCAAUUUGUGAAAGCUGUGUAUAAGUGUAUUGGACGCAAGCCAAGGUCAAGA
Rosa rugosa (rugosa rose) is the source of this 797-nucleotide long non-coding RNA. RefSeq lists it as uncharacterized. The record is from RefSeq and is a predicted model, not a curated record. NCBI's taxonomy places the organism in Eukaryota, Viridiplantae, Streptophyta, Magnoliopsida, Rosales, Rosaceae. The transcript is spliced from 3 exons.